AUUGAACGCUGGCGGCAUGCUUUACACAUACAAGUCGAACGGUAACAGGGUGCUUGCACCGCUGACGAGUGGCGAACGGGUGAGUAAUGCGUCGGAACGUGCCGAGUAGUGGGGGAUAACGCAGCGAAAGUUGUGCUAAUACCGCAUACGUACUGAGGUAGAAAGUGGGGGACCUUCGGGCCUCACGCUAUUCGAGCGGCCGACGUCUGAUUAGCUAGUAGGUGAGGUAAAGGCUCACCUAGGCGACGAUCAGUAGCGGGUCUGAGAGGAUGAUCCGCCACACUGGGACUGAGACACGGCCCAGACUCCUACGGGAGGCAGCAGUGGGGAAUUUUGGACAAUGGGCGAAAGCCUGAUCCAGCCAUGCCGCGUGUCUGAAGAAGGCCUUCGGGUUGUAAAGGACUUUUGUCAGGGAGGAAAUCCCUAGUGCUAAUAACACUGGGGGAUGACAGUACCUGAAGAAUAAGCACCGGCUAACUACGUGCCAGUAGCCGCCGUAA
This 500-nucleotide ribosomal RNA is filed under the name uncultured bacterium. RNAcentral describes it as "partial 16S ribosomal RNA". It matches the Rfam family "Bacterial small subunit ribosomal RNA", at positions 30 to 523 of the family's 1533-position model. The record is from RNAcentral.